AAAUCGGGACUCACUCCAAACCAAUGUGACGUUACCAAACUGUUGCCUCGGCGGGGUCACGCCCCGGGUGCGUCGCAGCCCCGGAACCAGGCGCCCGCCGGAGGAACCAACCAAACUCUUUCUGUAGUCCCCUCGCGGACGUAUUUCUUACAGCUCUGAGCAAAAAUUCAAAAUGAAUCAAAACUUUCAACAACGGAUCUCUUGGUUCUGGCAUCGAUGAAGAACGCAGCGAAAUGCGAUAAGUAAUGUGAAUUGCAGAAUUCAGUGAAUCAUCGAAUCUUUGAACGCACAUUGCGCCCGCCAGUAUUCUGGCGGGCAUGCCUGUCCGAGCGUCAUUUCAACCCUCGAACCCCUCCGGGGGAUCGGCGUUGGGGAUCGGGACCCCUCACACGGGUGCCGGCCCCGAAAUACAGUGGCGGUCUCGCCGCAGCCUCUCCUGCGCAGUAGUUUGCACAACUCGCACCGGGAGCGCGGCGCGUCCACGUCCGUAAAACACCCAACUUUCUGAAAUGUUGACCUCGGAUCAGGUAGGAAUACCCGCUGAACUUAAGCAUAUCAAUAAGCGGAGGAAAAGAAACCAACAGGGAUUGCCCCAGUAACGGCGAGUGAAGCGGCAACAGCUCAAAUUUGAAAUCUGGCCCCUCCGGGUCCGAGUUGUAAUUUGUAGAGGAUGCUUUUGGUGAGGUGCCGCCCGAGUUCCCUGGAACGGGACGCCACAGAGGGUGAGAGCCCCGUCUGGCUGGCCACCGAGCCUCUGUAAAGCUCCUUCGACGAGUCGAGUAGUUUGGGAAUGCUGCUCAAAAUGGGAGGUAUAUGUCUUCUAAAGCUAAAUAUUGGGCCAGAGACCGAUAGCGCACAAGUAGAGUGGAUCGAAAGAUGAAAAGCACCUUUGAAAAGAGGGGUUAAACAGUACGUGAAAUGUGUUGAAAGGGGAAAAGGGAUUGCGUGUUUUUUUUGGGUUGGG
Molecule: ribosomal RNA, 964 nt
Filed under: Trichoderma asperellum
Lineage: Eukaryota; Fungi; Ascomycota; Sordariomycetes; Hypocreales; Hypocreaceae
Description: eukaryotic LSU rRNA
Rfam family: Eukaryotic large subunit ribosomal RNA (bases 514-964)
Source: RNAcentral